This 1343-nucleotide ribosomal RNA is filed under the name uncultured bacterium. RNAcentral's name for it is "16S ribosomal RNA". It matches the Rfam family "Bacterial small subunit ribosomal RNA", at positions 28 to 1378 of the family's 1533-position model. The record is from RNAcentral.
GACGAACGCUGGCGGCGUGCUUAACACAUGCAAGUCGAACGGAAAGGCCCUGCUUUUGUGGGGUGCUCGAGUGGCGAACGGGUGAGUAACACGUGAGUAACCUGCCCUUGACUUUGGGAUAACUUCAGGAAACUGGGGCUAAUACCGGAUAGGAGCUCCUGCUGCAUGGUGGGGGUUGGAAAGUUUCGGCGGUUGGGGAUGGACUCGCGGCUUAUCAGCUUGUUGGUGGGGUAGUGGCUUACCAAGGCUUUGACGGGUAGCCGGCCUGAGAGGGUGACCGGCCACAUUGGGACUGAGAUACGGCCCAGACUCCUACGGGAGGCAGCAGUGGGGAAUAUUGCACAAUGGGCGGAAGCCUGAUGCAGCAACGCCGCGUGCGGGAUGACGGCCUUCGGGUUGUAAACCGCUUUCGCCUGUGACGAAGCGUGAGUGACGGUAAUGGGUAAAGAAGCACCGGCUAACUACGUGCCAGCAGCCGCGGUGAUACGUAGGGUGCGAGCGUUGUCCGGAUUUAUUGGGCGUAAAGGGCUCGUAGGUGGUUGAUCGCGUCGGAAGUGUAAUCUUGGGGCUUAACCCUGAGCGUGCUUUCGAUACGGGUUGACUUGAGGAAGGUAGGGGAGAAUGGAAUUCCUGGUGGAGCGGUGGAAUGCGCAGAUAUCAGGAGGAACACCAGUGGCGAAGGCGGUUCUCUGGGCCUUUCCUGACGCUGAGGAGCGAAAGCGUGGGGAGCGAACAGGCUUAGAUACCCUGGUAGUCCACGCUGUAAACGGUGGGUACUAGGUGUGGGGUCCAUUCCACGGGUUCCGUGCCGUAGCUAACGCUUUAAGUACCCCGCCUGGGGAGUACGGCCGCAAGGCUAAAACUCAAAGGAAUUGACGAGGCCCCGCACAAGCGGCGGAGCAUGCGGAUUAAUUCGAUGCAACGCGUAGAACCUUACCUGGGUUUGACAUGGGUCGGGAGUGCUCAGAGAUGGGUGUGCCUCUUUUGGGGUCGGUUCACAGGUGGUGCAUGCCUGUCGUCAGCUCGUGUCGUGAGAUGUUGGGUUAAGUCCCGCAACGAGCGCAACCCUUGUUCACUGUUGCCAGCACGUUAUGGUGGGGACUCAGUGGAGACCGCCGGGGUCAACUCGGAGGAAGGUGGGGAUGACGUCAAGUCCUCAUGCCCCUUAUGUCCAGGGCUACACGCAUGCUACAAUGGCUGGUACAGAGAGUGGCGAGCCUGUGAGGGUGAGCGAAUCUCGGAAAGCCGGUCUCAGUUCGGAUUGGGGUCUGCAACUCGACCUCAUGAAGCCGGAGUCGCUAGUAAUCGCAGAUCAGCAACGCUGCGGUGAGUACGUUCCCGGG